Molecule: ribosomal RNA, 540 nt
Filed under: uncultured bacterium
Lineage: Bacteria
Description: partial 16S ribosomal RNA
Rfam family: Bacterial small subunit ribosomal RNA
Source: RNAcentral
UGGGGAAUUUUGGACAAUGGGGGGAAACCCUGAUCCAGCCAUCCCGCGUGUGCGAUGAAGGCCUUCGGGUUGUAAAGCACUUUUGGCAGGAAAGAAACGUCGCGGGUUAAUACCCCGCGAAACUGACGGUACCUGCAGAAUAAGCACCGGCUAACUACGUGCCAGCAGCCGCGGUAAUACGUAGGGUGCAAGCGUUAAUCGGAAUUACUGGGCGUAAAGCGUGCGCAGGCGGUUCGGAAAGAAAGAUGUGAAAUCCCAGAGCUUAACUUUGGAACUGCAUUUUUAACUACCGGGCUAGAGUGUGUCAGAGGGAGGUGGAAUUCCGCGUGUAGCAGUGAAAUGCGUAGAUAUGCGGAGGAACACCGAUGGCGAAGGCAGCCUCCUGGGAUAACACUGACGCUCAUGCACGAAAGCGUGGGGAGCAAACAGGAUUAGAUACCCUGGUAGUCCACGCCCUAAACGAUGUCAACUAGCUGUUGGGGCCUUCGGGCCUUGGUAGCGCAGCUAACGCGUGAAGUUGACCGCCUGGGGAGUACGGUC